Molecule: ribosomal RNA, 456 nt
Filed under: uncultured bacterium
Lineage: Bacteria
Description: bacterial SSU rRNA
Rfam family: Bacterial small subunit ribosomal RNA
Source: RNAcentral
AGGGGCAGCGAGAUUGAUGCUUGCAUCCAAGUUGUCCGGGCGACCGGCGCACGGGUGCGUAACGCGUAUGCAACCUACCUCAAACAGGGGCAUAACACUGAGAAAUUGGUACUAAUACCCGAUGGGAUGCAUUUCCGGCAUCGGAGAUGCAUUAAAGAUUUUAUCGGUGACGGAUGAGGAUGCGUACGAUUAGCUUGUUGGCGGGUAACGGCCCACAAGGCAACGAUCGUUAGGGGUUCUGAGAGGAAGGUCCCCCACACUGGAACUGAGACACGGUCCAGACUCCUACGGGAGGCAGCAGUGAGGAAUAUUGGUCAAUGGGCGGAAGCCUGAACCAGCCAAGUAGCGUGAAGGAUUACAGCCCUACGGGUUUUAAACUUCUUUUAUAUAAGAGUAAUGUGCACUACGUGUAGUGUAUUGCAAGUAUUAUAUGAAUAAGCAUCGGCUAACUCCGUG